GGCCAAGUUAUUUAGGGCACACGGUGGAUGCCUUGGCAUCAGGAGCCGAUGAAGGACGUGGGAGGCUGCGUUAAGCCUCGGGGAGUCGCCAACCAGACGUUGAUCCGGGGAUGUCCGAAUGGGGAAACCUAGCACCAGUCAUGUGGUGUUGCCGCCGUCUGAAUGUAUAGGGCGGUUGGUGGUAACGCGGGGAAGUGAAACAUCUCAGUACCCGUAGGAGAAGAAAACAAUUUAGUGAUUCCGUGAGUAGUGGUGAGCGAAAGCGGAGGAGGCUAAACCGUGCGCGUGUGAUAGCCGGCGGGCGUUGCGUGUGCGGGGUUGUGGGACCUUCCGGAGGAGACCGCCGUCUCUUCAGGCAGUGAGAAAUCGGUGGGGUAGUCGAACGCUCUGGGAAGGGCGGCCGUAGACCGUGAUAGCCGGGUAGGCGAAAUCUUGCCGACUGUUGGGAGUGUUCCCGAGUAGCACGGGGCUCGAGAAAUCCUGUGUGAAUCUGCCAGGACCACCUGGUAAGCCUAAAUACUUCCUGAUGACCGAUAGUGAACGAGUACCGUGAGGGAAAGGUGAAAAGCGCCCCGGUGAGGGGUCGUGAAAUAGUACCUGAAACCGUGUGCCUACAAGCCGUAGGAGCGUAGUCGUCUUCGGGCGGCUGUGAUGUGACUGCGUGCCUUUUGAAGAAUGAGCCUGCGAGUUAUGGUGUGUGGCGAGGUUAACCCGUGUGGGGGAGCCGUAGCGAAAGCGAGUCUGAAUAGGGCGUUUGAGUCGCAUGCUGUAGACCCGAAGCGGGGUGAUCUACGCAUGGGCAGGUUGAAGCGUGGGUAAGACUGCGUGGAGGACCGAACCCACCAGGGUUGAAAACCUGGGGGAUGACCUGUGUGUAGGGGUGAAAGGCCAAUCAAACUCCGUGAUAGCUGGUUCUCCCCGAAAUGCAUUUAGGUGCAGCGUUACGUGUUGCUUGCCGGAGGUAGGGCUCUGGAUGGCUGAUGGGCCCGACAAGGUUACUGACGUCAGCCAAACUUCGAAUGCCGGUAAGUUGAGCGUGGCAGUGAGACUGCGGGGGAUAAGCUCCGUGGUCGAGAGGGAAACAGCCCAGAUCACCGACUAAGGCCCCUAAGCGUGUGCUAAGUGGGAAAGGAUGUGGAGUCGCAGUGACAACCAGGAGGUUGGCUUAGAAGCAGCCACCCUUGAAAGAGUGCGUAAUAGCUCACUGGUCAAGUGAUUCUGCGCCGACAAUGUAGCGGGGCUCAAGUACACCGCCGAAGUCGUGGCACCACUGGUCCUUUCGGGGUCUGGUGGUGGGUAGGGGAGCGUCGUGCGAACCGGUGAAGCCGCCGAGUGAUCGUGUGGUGGAGGUCGUGCGAGUGAGAAUGCAGGCAUGAGUAGCGAGUCAGAAGUGAGAAUCUUCUGCGCCGAAUGACCAAGGGUUCCUGGGGCAGGUUCGUCCGCCCAGGGUAAGUCGGGACCUAAGGCGAGGCCGACAGGCGUAGUCGAUGGACAACGGGUUGAUAUUCCCGUACCCGCUGUGAUGCGCCCAUAUCGAAUCCAGUGAUACUAAGGGUCCUUAACCCGGUUGGCUCUUCGGAGUCGGCGUCAGGGUGAACGCCUGGCCUGAUCUGGUAGUAGGUAAGCGAUGGGGUGACGCAGGAAGGUAGCCCAGCCCGGGCGGUGGUUGUCCCGGGGUAAGCAUGUAGGGGGAGAGAUAGGCAAAUCCGUCUCUCAUAUUCCCUGAGGUGUGAUGCCGAGCCGAUUGUGGCGAAGUGGGUGAUCCUAUGCUGCCGAGAAAAGCCUCUAGUGAGUGUCGCGGCGGCCCGUACCCUAAACCGACUCAGGUGGUCAGGUAGAGAAUACCAAGGCGGUCGGGUGAACUGUGGUUAAGGAACUCGGCAAAUUGCCCCCGUAACUUCGGGAGAAGGGGGACCUUUACUGGUGAUCGGACUUGCUCCGUGAGCUGGUGGGGGUCGCAGUGGCCAGGGGGAAGCGACUGUUUACUAAAAACACAGGUCCGUGCGAAGUCGUAAGACGAUGUAUACGGACUGACGCCUGCCCGGUGCCGGAACGUUAAGGGGACCGCUUAGCAUCUUUCGGGGUGCGAAGGUGAGAACUUAAGCGCCGGUAAACGGCGGUGGUAACUAUAACCAUCCUAAGGUAGCGAAAUUCCUUGUCGGGUAAGUUCCGACCUGCACGAAUGGCGUAACGACUUCCCCGCUGUCUCAACCACAGGCCCGGUGAAAUUGCAGUACGAGUAAAGAUGCUCGUUUCGCGCAGCAGGACGGAAAGACCCCGGGACCUUCACUACAGCUUGACAUUGGCGUUUGGAGCGUCUUGUGUAGGAUAGGUGGGAGACUGGGAAGCGGUAACGCUAGUUAUCGUGGAGUCAUUGGUGAAAUACCACUCUGGUCGUUUUGGACGUCUAACCCGCGCCCGUGAAUCCGGGUGGGGGACAGUGUCUGGUGGGUAGUUUAACUGGGGCGGUUGCCUCCUAAAAGGUAACGGAGGCGCCCAAAGGUUCCCUCAGCCUGGUUGGCAAUCAGGUGUCGAGUGUAAGUGCACAAGGGAGCUUGACUGUGAGACUGACGGGUCGAGCAGGAGCGAAAGCUGGGACUAGUGAUCCGGCAUCGGCGUGUGGAAGCGGUGUCGCUCAACGGCUAAAAGGUACCCCGGGGAUAACAGGCUGAUCUUCCCCAAGAGUCCAUAUCGACGGGAUGGUUUGGCACCUCGAUGUCGGCUCGUCGCAUCCUGGGGCUGGAGUAGGUCCCAAGGGUUGGGCUGUUCGCCCAUUAAAGCGGUACGCGAGCUGGGUUUAGAACGUCGCGAGACAGUUCGGUCCCUAUCCGCUGCGCGCGCAGGAGACUUGCGAGGGGCUGUCCCUAGUACGAGAGGACCGGGACGGACGAACCUCUGGUGUGCCAGUUGUUCCGCCAGGAGCACGGCUGGUUGGCUACGUUCGGUAGGGAUAACCGCUGAAAGCAUCUAAGCGGGAAGCUCGCCUCAAGAUGAGGUCUCCCACCACCUUGUGUGGGUAAGGCCCCCUAGAGAUGAUGGGGUUGAUAGGCCGGAAGUGGAAGCGCAGUAAUGUGUGGAGCUGACCGGUACUAAUAGGCCGAGGACUUGACCAU
Molecule: ribosomal RNA, 3113 nt
Filed under: Microbispora rosea subsp. rosea
Lineage: Bacteria; Bacillati; Actinomycetota; Actinomycetes; Streptosporangiales; Streptosporangiaceae
Description: 23S ribosomal RNA
Rfam family: Bacterial large subunit ribosomal RNA
Source: RNAcentral